This 467-nucleotide ribosomal RNA is filed under the name uncultured bacterium. Its description in RNAcentral is "partial 16S ribosomal RNA". It matches the Rfam family "Bacterial small subunit ribosomal RNA", at positions 28 to 507 of the family's 1533-position model. The record is from RNAcentral.
GACGAACGCUGGCGGCGUGCUUAACACAUGCAAGUCGAACGGAAAGGUCCUGCUUUUGUGGGCUGCACGAGUGGCGAACGGGUGAGUAACACGUGAGUAACCUGCCCUUGCCUUUGGGAUAUCUUCAGAAAACUGGGGGUAAUAACGGAUAGGAGCUCAUGCUGUUUGGUGGGGGUUGGAAAGUUUCGGAGGUUGGGGAUGGACUCGCGGAUUAUCAGCUCGUUGGUGGGGUAGUGUCUUACCAAGGUUGUGCCGUGUAGCCGGCCUGAGAGGGGGACCGGCCACAGUGAGUCUGAGAUACAGCCGAGACGCAUACGGGAGGCAGGAGUGGGGAAUAAUGCACAAAGGACGGAAGACUGAUGCAGCAACGCCGCGUGCGGGAGUACGGCCUUCGAGUGGUAAGCCUCUGUCGCUUGAGAGGAAACGUGAGUAACGUUAAUGGGGAAAGAGGCACCGGCAAACUAGUG